This 267-nucleotide ribosomal RNA is filed under the name uncultured bacterium. RNAcentral describes it as "partial 16S ribosomal RNA". It matches the Rfam family "Bacterial small subunit ribosomal RNA", at positions 10 to 258 of the family's 1533-position model. The record is from RNAcentral.
AGUUUGAUCCUGGCUCAGAAUGAACGCUGGCGGCAGGCCUAACGCAUGCAAGUGGAACGGAAACGACAAUAACAAACUCUUCGGAGGGCGAUCUUGGGCGUCGAGUGGCGGACGGGUGAGUAACGCGUGGGAAUCUACCCUUUAGUUGGGGACAACAUAUGGAAACGUAUGCUAAUACCGAAUAUGCUCUACGGAGUAAAGGUGGCCUCUACUUGUAAGCUAUCGCGAAAGCGUGGGUAGCGAACGGGAUUAGAUACCCUGGUAGUC